AAUAUUCCGCAAUGCGCGAAGGCGUGACGGAGCAAUGCCGCGUGCAGGAUGAAGUCCCUCGGGGUGUAAACUGCUGUCAGGGACUAGGAAUAAAUGACCAACCCCAAAGGAAGGGCCGGCUAACUUUGUGCCAGCAGCCGCGGUAAUACAGAGGGCCCGAGCGUUGAUCGGAAUCACUGGGCUUAAAGGGUUCGUAGGCGGAUUGGUAAGUAUGUUGUGAAAUCCCACGGCUCAACCGUGGAAUUGCUUCGUAGACUGCCAAUCUUGAGCACGACAGGGGCCAUCAGAACUCUAGGUGGAGCGGUGAAAUGCGUAGAUAUCUAGAGGAAUGCCAAAGGUGAAGACAGAUGGCUGGGUCGUCGCUGACGCUCAGGAACGAAAGCAUGGGUAGCGAACGGGAUUAGAUACCCCGGUAGUCCAUGCCCUA
This 427-nucleotide ribosomal RNA is filed under the name uncultured marine bacterium. RNAcentral describes it as "bacterial SSU rRNA". It matches the Rfam family "Bacterial small subunit ribosomal RNA", at positions 360 to 804 of the family's 1533-position model. The record is from RNAcentral.